This 246-nucleotide ribosomal RNA is filed under the name uncultured bacterium. Its description in RNAcentral is "partial 16S ribosomal RNA". It matches the Rfam family "Bacterial small subunit ribosomal RNA", at positions 527 to 772 of the family's 1533-position model. The record is from RNAcentral.
GUAGGGGGCGAGUGUUAUCCGGAUUUACUGGGUGUAAAGGGAGCGUAGACGGCUGGUCAAGUCUGAAGUGAAAGCCCGGGGCUUAACCCCGGAACGGCUUUGGAAACUGAGCAGCUAGAGUGCUGGAGAGGUAAGCGGAAUUCCUAGUGUAGCGGUGAAAUGCGUAGAUAUUAGGAGGAACACCAGUGGCGAAGGCGGCUUACUGGACAGUAACUGACGUUGAGGCUCGAAAGCGUGGGGAGCAAA